This 589-nucleotide ribosomal RNA is filed under the name Trichoderma harzianum. RNAcentral's name for it is "eukaryotic LSU rRNA". The stretch from base 233 to 386 matches the Rfam family "5.8S ribosomal RNA". The record is from RNAcentral. Lineage: Eukaryota; Fungi; Ascomycota; Sordariomycetes; Hypocreales; Hypocreaceae.
UCUGUAGGUGAAAACUGCGGAGUGAUCAUUACCGAGUUUACAACUCCCAAACCCAAUGUGAACGUUACCAAACUGUUGCCUCGGCGGGAUCUCUGCCCCGGGUGCGUCGCAGCCCCGGACCAAGGCGCCCGCCGGAGGACCAACCAAAACUCUUAUUGUAUACCCCCUCGCGGGUUUUUUUAUAAUCUGAGCCUUCUCGGCGCCUCUCGUAGGCGUUUCGAAAAUGAAUCAAAACUUUCAACAACGGAUCUCUUGGUUCUGGCAUCGAUGAAGAACGCAGCGAAAUGCGAUAAGUAAUGUGAAUUGCAGAAUUCAGUGAAUCAUCGAAUCUUUGAACGCACAUUGCGCCCGCCAGUAUUCUGGCGGGCAUGCCUGUCCGAGCGUCAUUUCAACCCUCGAACCCCUCCGGGGGGUCGGCGUUGGGGAUCGGCCCUGCCUUGGCGGUGGCCGUCUCCGAAAUACAGUGGCGGUCUCGCCGCAGCCUCUCCUGCGCAGUAGUUUGCACACUCGCAUCGGGAGCGCGGCGCGUCCACAGCCGUUAAACACCCAACUUCUGAAAUGUUGACCUCGGAUCAGGUAGGAAUACCCG